Molecule: long non-coding RNA, 1384 nt
Organism: Lutra lutra (Eurasian river otter)
Lineage: Eukaryota; Metazoa; Chordata; Mammalia; Carnivora; Mustelidae
Exons: 5
Source: RefSeq, a predicted model, not a curated record
CCGCGGGCUGCACAGUGACGUACGACGUGGCUCCGGAAGAUCCACCAAUCUCAGGGUCUGAUUCUCGACGAGCUUCAAUCUCCCAUAAUGCUUCGUGAAUUCAUGGACCUCUGUCGAGGGACUACACGUCCCAUGAAACCCUGCAGUCAAAGCUUGAAGUAACAUCGUGGAGAAAAACGUAAUUGUCUCGGGGCCAGUGGCGCAAUGGAUAACGCGUCUGACUACGGAUCAGAAGAUUCCAGGUCUUAUGAGUAGGUGGCUGUCCAGAGGAAGUGGAAGCUAAUUAUCUGGGCUGUGGACCAUCUGUGCUCCUGGCAUCUUCCUCCUGAUGUCAAGCUGGUGGCUGUUCUGUUGGUUGUUAACUAACCCAUCCAUGGGUCUAUGGCAAGCAUGAUGCUGAACAGUUCCCAGUAAUUCCAUACCGCAUUGCUCCCCGCCUUUCCGACAGCACUUUCCUGUGACUUCUAGAAACAGCAGGUACUAUGAGUCUACCUAUAUGAGCCAGAGAGAAGCAAAAGCGAAGGAGUGAAAAAGAAAUAGAGCACCUGGUAAAGACAGAGUUGGUGAAGAAGUCUGUCUUCUGUUCAGCCUCCCUCUGCCCUGCCCUCCAUGCCGAACUCUUGUGCUCAGAAGCAUGAGCCAGUGACCAACAGGCAGACCCUUGGAAACUUUUCUGGAAAGGAAAGAGUAUCCUCUCGCAGAGAAUUCUCCCCUUGCCCCUCCACCCCCUUCCCCUCACAUUCCUCACCUCCAGGCCCAGUUCUUUUACCUGAUCCUGUUUUUGUGACCUUGUUUAAACACCUCCAGCCCAUUGUAAACACUCCUUUCAUCUCUGGUGCUCAGCUCCUCCCUCAGCACUUACCUCCCUCCCCAGCACCCCUUCACUCACCUCUGUGCCUGCCCAGCCAGCUAGACUCUUCAACACCAAAAUAAUGGCCCGUUUGACCCUCCUACUGCUCCAAAUUGCUUCUGUACAAUCAAGGCUGUCCUGCAGCUACCAAAGUGGCAGAGUUACUGAGGCAAAAUAAUCUAUGCCGAUUUGCAUUCUCUUCCUUGUCAGCUCUAUUAUACAGUGUUUAUCUGUCAAAAUGAAUAGAAAGUAGAAACUGUUCUGGAACACAGGAAAAGAUGGAAAAUUACCCGAUUUGUUUACAAAGCCAGAACAUACCGAAUAGCAAAACCUGUCAGAAGAAGCCCCCUGCCCCAAAAAAACCCUACAGACCAAUCUCACUUAUUAAUAUAUAUGUAAAAAUCCUAAAAUAUUUAAGUUUAACAUAUAAAAGACAGCAGUAUAUUAACAUAAUAAUUACAUACCAAAACCAAUUGGGGUUUAAUGUUGGGAAUUAAGAUUAGGUCUGAAGAAAUUUAUUUAAAUAAAAGAUCA